Molecule: ribosomal RNA, 253 nt
Filed under: uncultured bacterium
Lineage: Bacteria
Description: partial 16S ribosomal RNA
Rfam family: Bacterial small subunit ribosomal RNA
Source: RNAcentral
UACGAGGGGUGCAAGCGUUGUCCGGAAUUAUUGGGCGUAAAGAGCGUGUAGGCGGCCAUGCAGGUCCGUUGUGAAAACUCGAGGCUCAACCUCGAGACGCCGAUGGAAACCGCAUGGCUAGAGUCCGGAAGAGGAGAGUGGAAUUCCUGGUGUAGCGGUGAAAUGCGCAGAUAUCAGGAAGAACACCCGUGGCUAAGGCGGCUCUCUAGUACGGUACUGACGCUGAGACGCGAAAGCGUGGGGAGCGAACAGG